GCUGGGAUGGCCGAGUCGUUAAGGCGAGUGAUUUGAAUUUCAACUAUCACUUGGUGUUUCACCGCGUAGGUUCAAAUCCUGCUUCCAGCG
RNAcentral lists this transfer RNA (90 nucleotides) under Termitomyces sp. T159_Od127. Its description in RNAcentral is "tRNA-Ser". It matches the Rfam family "tRNA". From Rfam's summary of the family: Transfer RNA (tRNA) molecules are approximately 80 nucleotides in length. Their secondary structure includes four short double-helical elements and three loops (D, anti-codon, and T loops). Further hydrogen bonds mediate the characteristic L-shaped molecular structure. tRNAs have two regions of fundamental functional importance: the anti-codon, which is responsible for specific mRNA codon recognition, and the 3' end, to which the tRNAs corresponding amino acid is attached (by aminoacyl-tRNA synthetases). tRNAs cope with the degeneracy of the genetic code in two manners: having more than one tRNA (with a specific anti-codon) for a particular amino acid; and 'wobble' base-pairing, i.e. permitting non-standard base-pairing at the 3rd anti-codon position. Lineage: Eukaryota; Fungi; Basidiomycota; Agaricomycetes; Agaricales; Lyophyllaceae. The record is from RNAcentral.